UACGAAGGGGGCUAGCGUUGCUCGGAAUCACUGGGCGUAAAGGGUGCGUAGGCGGGUUUUUAAGUCAGGGGUGAAAUCCUGGAGCUCAACUCCAGAACUGCCUUUGAUACUGAAGAUCUUGAGUUCGGGAGAGGUGAGUGGAACUGCGAGUGUAGAGGAGAAAUUCGUAGAUAUUCGCAAGAACACCAAUAGCGAAGGCAGCUCGCUGGGACGGUACUGACGCUAAGGCGCGAAAGCGUGGGGAGCGAACAGG
This 253-nucleotide ribosomal RNA is filed under the name uncultured bacterium. Its description in RNAcentral is "partial 16S ribosomal RNA". It matches the Rfam family "Bacterial small subunit ribosomal RNA", at positions 524 to 776 of the family's 1533-position model. The record is from RNAcentral.